UACAGAGGGUGCAAGCGUUAAUCGGAAUUACUGGGCGUAAAGCGUACGUAGGCGGAUGCUUAAGUCAGAUGUGAAAGCCCCGGGCUUAACCUGGGAAUUGCAUCUGAAACUGGGUUUCUAGAGUAUGGUAGAGGAUAGUGGAAUUUCCGGUGUAGCGGUGAAAUGCGUAGAUAUCGGAAGGAACACCAGUGGCGAAGGCGACUAUCUGGGCCAAUACUGACGCUGAGGUACGAAAGCGUGGGUAGCAAACAGG
Molecule: ribosomal RNA, 253 nt
Filed under: uncultured bacterium
Lineage: Bacteria
Description: partial 16S ribosomal RNA
Rfam family: Bacterial small subunit ribosomal RNA
Source: RNAcentral